Molecule: long non-coding RNA, 399 nt
Organism: Ochotona princeps (American pika)
Lineage: Eukaryota; Metazoa; Chordata; Mammalia; Lagomorpha; Ochotonidae
Exons: 4
Source: RefSeq, a predicted model, not a curated record
CGCCGCCAUAGCCGCCUUGCUGGUUGUGCUGGUGGAGAGGCACAGGUGGCUGAGCCAGUGCUGCCCUGUGAGCUCCCUCCCCGCAGGAGCCUCUGCAGGACCCCCGACUCGUCAGAAGCUGGGAAGGGUGUAGCCCUGCAGCCUGCUACAUGCUUCCCAGGCUGGAAAACACCAACACACCUUCAGGGUUGGUGUCAUUUGAAGAUGUGGCUGUGGACUUUACCCAGGAAGAAUGGCAGACAAUGGACAAUACUCAGAGGACCCUGUACAGGGAGGUGAUGCUUGAGACCUAUAACAAUCUGCUGUCCUUGGGGUACUCCAUGACAAAGCCUAAUGUGAUCUUCAAGUUGGAGCAAGAAUCAGCACCAUGGACAGUGGAGAAAUCUGUGAUGCAGAGAC